RNAcentral lists this ribosomal RNA (444 nucleotides) under uncultured bacterium. Its description in RNAcentral is "bacterial SSU rRNA". It matches the Rfam family "Bacterial small subunit ribosomal RNA", at positions 331 to 792 of the family's 1533-position model. The record is from RNAcentral.
CCAGACUCCUACGGGAGGCAGCAGUGGGGAAUAUUGCACAAUGGGGGAAACCCUGAUGCAGCGACGCCGCGUGAAGGACGAAGUAUUUCGGUACGUAAACUUCUAUCAGCAGGGAAGAAAAUGACGGUACCUGACCAAGAAGCCCCGGCUAACUACGUGCCAGCAGCCGCGGUAAUACGUAGGGGGCAAGCGUUAUCCGGAUUUACUGGGUGUAAAGGGAGCGUAGACGGCCAUGCAAGUCUGAUGUGAAAACCCGGGGCUCAACCCCGGGACUGCAUUGGAAACUGUGCGGCUGGAGUGUCGGAGAGGCAAGUGGAAUUCCUAGUGUAGCGGUGAAAUGCGUAGAUAUUAGGAGGAACACCAGUGGCGAAGGCGGCUUACUGGACUGUAACUGACGUUGAGGCUCGAAAGCGUGGGGAGCAAACAGGAUUAGAUACCCCCGUA